UGGCUGUUGGAGGGGGCAGGC
RNAcentral lists this microRNA (21 nucleotides) under Homo sapiens (human). RNAcentral describes it as "hsa-miR-4687-3p". The record is from miRBase by way of RNAcentral. Lineage: Eukaryota; Metazoa; Chordata; Mammalia; Primates; Hominidae.